GGUUGGUUAUCAGCUUCUAGCAAGACACGAGGUGCACGAAAGAAUUAUAUGGUCAUGAAUUUGCAACUGGCUCAAAGGGAUAAGAGAGUGGAAAUCUGGGCCAUAGAGAGAGAAUCUUCAGUUAAACAGUUGACGACCUUGCCACAAUUUAGAAGCAGUGUUACUGCCUUUUUCUUGGGUUGCAAUUGAUCAUCAAAAGAAACCAGGGGUUUCUUAGCAGUUGGAAUGGAAGAUAGACUCAUUGAACUGUGGAGUCUUGCUAUCAGAAGAUCUGAGUACACAGUGCCAGAUGUAGCUGCUGCUCUUAUCCUAGGGCUUGAUUCCCUCAUGUGCCACGUUUCUCCUGGGAACUGUAUGUCAUGGAGAAACCACGAAAAGAGUGAAGAUAGCAAGAGUUUGCAACAAGCUUCUUGUGGAGCUGAUCAAUGUGUGAGAGUUAAGUAAUCACAUGAACGAAUUUGUAUAAUCAAUAGGCAAUUUUGUAAUGCAUCCAUUAAUUAGUGGCUUGUUCUAAUCUCUUCACCACUUUUAAUGAAUCAGUUUGAUAAAUAUCUACUAGAGAU
RNAcentral lists this unclassified non-coding RNA (563 nucleotides) under Hevea brasiliensis (rubber tree). The record is from RNAcentral. Lineage: Eukaryota; Viridiplantae; Streptophyta; Magnoliopsida; Malpighiales; Euphorbiaceae.